CCCUCUGUUCUAUCUUUUUGUGUUUACGUAUUUCGGUAAAUACUUUACGCCCGUGCAUGUUCACCGUUCAUGCACGUCAUGGAAUCUUGGUUGUACACUUUUAUUUGCGCAAAUCCUACAACUUGCCUAUCUAGACGAUAUAUCGUACAGCUAAUACACGCACGGAUAAACAAGCACAUUGCUGUUUCCAAAUGUCUGAUCUUU
RNAcentral lists this long non-coding RNA (204 nucleotides) under Mytilus galloprovincialis (Mediterranean mussel). Lineage: Eukaryota; Metazoa; Mollusca; Bivalvia; Mytilida; Mytilidae. The record is from RNAcentral.